This 438-nucleotide ribosomal RNA is filed under the name Ausejanus vividus. Its description in RNAcentral is "partial 16S ribosomal RNA". The stretch from base 313 to 438 matches the Rfam family "Bacterial large subunit ribosomal RNA", at positions 2473 to 2598 of the family's 2925-position model. The record is from RNAcentral. Lineage: Eukaryota; Metazoa; Arthropoda; Insecta; Hemiptera; Miridae.
UGUACAAAGGUAGCAUAAUCAUUUGUCUUUUAAUUGAAGUCUGGAAUGAAUGGUUGGAUGAAAAAUUUACUUUCUUUAUUUUAAAUAAAAAAAUUGAUUUUUAUAUAAAAAAGUUUAAAUAUUGAUAGAGGACGAGAAGACCCUAUAGAACUUUAUUCUUUUAUAUUAAUAAUUUUUUUGUAAAUGAUUAUUUAUUAAUUAUUAAGAAUUUUGUUGGGGUGACAAAAAAAAUUUUAUAACUUUUUUUAAUUUAUUCAUAUAUAUAUGAAUUAUUGAUCCUUUAUUAAGGAAAUAAGAUUAAGUUACCUUAGGGAUAACAGCGUUAUUAUUUCAGAGAGUUCAUAUUGAUGAAAUAGUUUGCGACCUCGAUGUUGGAUUAAAAUUAAUUUCAGGAGUAGAAAAUUGAAAUAUUAGGUCUGUUCGACCUUUAAAUUUUUA